Molecule: ribosomal RNA, 701 nt
Filed under: uncultured bacterium
Lineage: Bacteria
Description: bacterial SSU rRNA
Rfam family: Bacterial small subunit ribosomal RNA
Source: RNAcentral
GUCGAGCGGGGUGAUGUAGCUUGCUACAUUACCUAGCGGCGGACGGGUGAGUAAUGCUUAGGAAUCUGCCUAUUAGUGGGGGACAACAUUCCGAAAGGAAUGCUAAUACCGCAUACGCCCUACGGGGGAAAGCAGGGGAUCUUCGGACCUUGCGCUAAUAGAUGAGCCUAAGUCAGAUUAGCUAGUUGGUGGGGUAAAGGCCUACCAAGGCGACGAUCUGUAGCGGGUCUGAGAGGAUGAUCCGCCACACUGGGACUGAGACACGGCCCAGACUCCUACGGGAGGCAGCAGUGGGGAAUAUUGGACAAUGGGCGAAAGCCUGAUCCAGCAAUGCCGCGUGCAGGAUGAAGGCCUUCGGGUUGUAAACUGCUUUUGUACGGAACGAAAAAGCUCCUUCUAAUACAGGGGGCCCAUGACGGUACCGUAAGAAUAAGCACCGGCUAACUACGUGCCAGCAGCCGCGGUAAUACGUAGGGUGCGAGCGUUAAUCGGAAUUACUGGGCGUAAAGCGUGCGCAGGCGGUUAUGUAAGACAGAUGUGAAAUCCCCGGGCUCAACCUGGGAACUGCAUUUGUGACUGCAUGGCUAGAGUACGGUAGAGGGGGAUGGAAUUCCGCGUGUAGCAGUGAAAUGCGUAGAUAUGCGGAGGAACACCGAUGGCGAAGGCAAUCCCCUGGACCUGUACUGACGCUCAUGCACGAA